GCAGGUGUUAACCCUAAUGCCGUUCACUCAGGCCUGUCAUUAGCACUUACACCCUUGACAGGUGCUUUCCGUCGCACCAGGAGGAAGUCUUGAUGUUGACAUUCCAGAACUUCUCAGCCCUCCCUUGUCCAGAAGGUCAUGGGAUACCUUGGAAACUGGCAUCAAUCCUCAAGCAGAAGGGGAAGCUCCAAAGGAUCUGGGUAACUGUGUGACCUGGGCCAGUCCAAACCAGGUGCUCAGCCCAUAUCUCAAAUGGAGAAUCUGCUCUAUUUUUUGGCAGUGGGACCUCAGACAAAUCACUUAACUUCCUUGGACCUGGAUUUUGUCAUCUGUAAAAUGGGAACAGAAACAACAGCAGAGCCAUGCAGUUAUAGCUUCAUGCAGAUUCAAGUCUCUGAAGAAUUGAAAAGGUGUUGGAUGGCAGAGAGGCACAUAAUAGAUAUCAGUAGGAAGUAAAUAGUCUAAUAAAGGUUAUACCAGUACUUACA
Molecule: long non-coding RNA, 488 nt
Filed under: Monodelphis domestica (gray short-tailed opossum)
Lineage: Eukaryota; Metazoa; Chordata; Mammalia; Didelphimorphia; Didelphidae
Description: lncRNA (ENSMODG00000048111.1)
Source: RNAcentral